AAAAUCGAUUUUGGGCGUUCACCAUUCUUUUCCUUCGAGUCCGUCAGCCGUCAACCAUCUUGUAAACGGUUGCUAUAGAUAUUUUUGCUUGAUUGUUGUUUUGAAUAGCACAUAUUUUACUGUUUUGAGUGUAUAAUAUAAGUUUUAUUAUUGGUAACCAACGAGAUGUCUCGCUAUAGAGAAUGGGAUCUUUCUUGCAAGGUGUACGUCGGUAAUUUGGGAUCAUCUGCAAGUAAACAUGAAAUUGAAAGCGCCUUUAGCAAAUAUGGUCCUUUGAGAAAUGUGUGGGUGGCUAGAAAUCCUCCAGGCUUCGCUUUCGUUGAAUUCGAGGAUUCAAGGGAUGCGGAAGAUGCCGUGAGAGGGUUGGACGGCACUCGAUGCUGUGGUACAAGGGUCCGUGUUGAAAUGUCAAAUGGGCGAUCAAGAAGAGGAGGUGGAGGUGGUGGUAGGAGGGGUCCCUCAAGGUAUUCCAGCUAUUACAGGCCAACGUCACUGCUGUUGUUUUCUCCCCCCGACCGAGUCUACCCAACCCCCCCAACGUCCUCUGGCCUACACAUCUCAUCUUUAAUUAAUUAAAUACGACACACAACAACUAGGGUUCAACAACUACUUCUGUCAUCUACAAACAACAGCCCAAAUGAGGUCGGUUUAAAAGAAAAGUGGCCUAAAACAACAUCGUCUCCACCAGAAAAUCAUCAGCAGUCGGCUUUGAUUCUUCCAAAAAUUGCAAAACAAAAACUGCCAAGGGCAACUUCAUCCGGCUAGGCAACGGUCAUCAUCUUCCGUACAAAACAUCUACAAAAUUUUUCCUCAUCAUAAACAACAACUUCCUUCCCAUGGGUACAGGUUACUCAAAACCCAACUGAACAAAACCUCAACAAUUUUUUUCAAUCAACGACACUUUGUCAACCUUCAACGAUGUUCCUACGUCUAGAUCACCUAGGAGGUCACGAUCGAUAUCGAGAUCCAGGAGCCGAGACAGGCGCAGCAGGUCGGACUCGAGGGACCGUCGAUGAACGAUGGAGCCCUUGCUUCGAAGAUGACACAUCAGACUAUAUUUUAAGCUAUAUUAUUAUAGUUACUUGGGAAUGAGUCUUUCAUUUAUCCGAAAGUUCACAAGUUCUUCAAGGCACUUUUUCCCUCUUUUUUGUCUAUUCAAAUGAGUCGGAUAUUUUAAUUUCCUAUUUUGUGAGUGAAUAUGUAAUUAUUUGUAUUAUGAUUAUUCUUUAAGACAUACAAAAAAUAUAGAUAGUAAAUAUGUGA
Coccinella septempunctata (seven-spotted ladybird) is the source of this 1263-nucleotide RNA transcript. It is a transcript of the gene named RNA-binding protein 1, with no coding region annotated. The record is from RefSeq and is a predicted model, not a curated record. The transcript has 4 exons. Lineage: Eukaryota; Metazoa; Arthropoda; Insecta; Coleoptera; Coccinellidae.